RNAcentral lists this ribosomal RNA (460 nucleotides) under uncultured bacterium. RNAcentral describes it as "bacterial SSU rRNA". It matches the Rfam family "Bacterial small subunit ribosomal RNA", at positions 29 to 506 of the family's 1533-position model. The record is from RNAcentral.
ACGAACGCUGGCGGCGCGCUUAACACAUGCAAGUCGAACGAGAAGCCCGGGCUUGCCCGGGUGGACAGUGGCGAACGGGUGCGUAACACGUGAGCAACCUGCCCCGAAGACCGGGAUAACACCGGGAAUCCGGUGCUAAUACCGGAUGCCCUCACCACCUCGCAUGGGGAGGUGAGGAAAUGGAUUCCGCUUCGGGAUGGGCUCGCGGCCUAUCAGCUUGUUGGUGAGGUAACGGCUCACCGAGGCAACGACGGGUAGCUGGUCUGAGAGGAUGUCCAGCCACACUGGGACUGAGACACGGCCCAGACUCCUACGGGAGGCAGCAGUGGGGAAUCUUGCGCAAUGGGCGAAAGCCUGACGCAGCGACGCCGCGUGCGGGAUGACGGCCUUCGGGUUGUAAACCGCUUUCAGCAGGGACGAUUGUGACGGUACCUGCAGAAGAAGCCCCGGCCAACUACGU